UGGGGAAUAUUGCACAAUGGGCGAAAGCCUGAUGCAGCAACGCCGCGUGAGGGACGACGGCCUUCGGGUUGUAAACCUCUUUAGCAAGGAAGAAGCGAAAGUGACGGUACUUGCAGAAAAAGCGCCGGCUAACUACGUGCCAGCAGCCGCGGUAAUACGUAGGGCGCAAGCGUUAUCCGGAAUUAUUGGGCGUAAAGAGCUCGUAGGCGGUUUGUCGCGUCUGCUGUGAAAACCCGAGGCUCAACCUCGGGCCUGCAGUGGGUACGGGCAGACUAGAGUGCGGUAGGGGAGAUUGGAACUCCUGGUGUAGCGGUGGAAUGCGCAGAUAUCAGGAAGAACACCGAUGGCGAAGGCAGAUCUCUGGGCCGUAACUGACGCUGAGGAGCGAAAGGGUGGGGAGCAAACAGGCUUAGAUGACCCUGGUAGUCCACCCGUAAACGUUGGGAACUAGUUGUGGGUCCAUUCCACGGAUUCCGUGACGCAGCUAACGCAUUAAGUUCCCCGCCUGGGGAGUACGGCCGCAAGGCU
RNAcentral lists this ribosomal RNA (528 nucleotides) under uncultured bacterium. RNAcentral describes it as "partial 16S ribosomal RNA". It matches the Rfam family "Bacterial small subunit ribosomal RNA", at positions 355 to 895 of the family's 1533-position model. The record is from RNAcentral.